UCACUGAGCCCCUGAUUUUUCCACUGUUGCCUAGUCUCCUCUCUGACUUAAGCAUCAGAGGGUCCCCACCGGAGAUAUCUCCGAUCAGUGAGGACUUUUCUUACAGGUGCGCAUUUCCGACGAUCAGACGACGAGGAGAUUGACCGCAACAGAUUUGGCACUCCAGGUAGGGGGAGCGGUCGCGGCGGUGGUAAGACAGCAAGCUCCAUAGAGCUUGAAAAAUCUUUCGAGAUGACAAAAAUCAGAGCUCAG
This 252-nucleotide long non-coding RNA is filed under the name Elaeis guineensis (African oil palm). RNAcentral's name for it is "long non-coding RNA (EGUI_LNC014308)". Lineage: Eukaryota; Viridiplantae; Streptophyta; Magnoliopsida; Arecales; Arecaceae. The record is from RNAcentral.